RNAcentral lists this ribosomal RNA (392 nucleotides) under uncultured cyanobacterium. RNAcentral's name for it is "bacterial SSU rRNA". It matches the Rfam family "Bacterial small subunit ribosomal RNA", at positions 370 to 779 of the family's 1533-position model. Lineage: Bacteria; Bacillati; Cyanobacteriota. The record is from RNAcentral.
AAUGGGCGAAAGCCUGACGCAGCAAUACCGUGUGAGGGAAGACGCUUUGAGGAGUGUAAACCUCUGUCGGGAGGGACGAAUUUUGACGGUACCUCCAAAGAAGCACCGGCUAACUCUGUGCCAGCAGCCGCGGUAAUACAGAGGGUGCGAGCGUUGUCCGGAUUUAUUGGGCGUAAAGCGUUUGUAGGCGGUUUGCCAAGUCCGAAGUGAAAGAAUGAAGCUCAACUUCAUCCCCGCUUUGGAAACUGGCAGACUAGAGAAUGUUAGGGGUAAGUGGAAUUUCCAGUGUAGCGGUGAAAUGCGUAGAUAUUGGAAGGAACACCAGAGGCGAAGGCGACUUACUGGGACAUUUCUGACGCUGAGAAACGAAAGCUAGGGUAGCGAAUGGGAUU